GAGUGUUCUAUUAAUUUGCCAAGUCUCCCACCUGAAAGCACUAUCUAAGUAUGUGGACCAGGGAGUAUUCAAAAGUCCUUCAAAGCACACCUUCAUUGACCUCUGCUUGAGAAUGUGCUUCACUCGAGAACUGCACAACCGCCUGUGUUUUCAAUUAGAGGAUAUAAAAUGUCAACUAACAUUCCGUGGCAAGAAACACAAUUAUCAGAUGCCAGUCUUUAGUGCACUUCUCCAAAACGCGAAUUCCAUGUGUCGUUGGUGGCUGUAGGUGGACCAAUGCAGAGAAACAACUAUGUUUCUACACAACAUACAUUUGUAACAAGUGGAUGACCCCUCGUUCCCAAUGAAUGAUUACGUCUGAGGAAGUCGCCGUGCAUUAUUCCCGACUGUUUCCCAGAAAGAAUGAAGAAAUGGUGGAAUUUUUUGGUAAGUCACAGCCUCCUGUGCUUUCCCUAUGAGUGUGGAGGCGGGGCACUUCAGUCCAAGACUCGUCCACCGAAAAUAACCUGCAUGAGGGAGGGAAGAGACUUCCAGAGAAAAGUGAGAGAGAGUAGAGGGAGGAGGAAAGGAUAGUGCCCGAAAAAGCGGGGAGGGAGAGAAGAAGAAGAAGAACGGAGUGCCUGCGCUGCGAUGGAAUAAAAACUGCGCAAUUUUAAAUCCUAUCUCCGCUGCUCUUCCAGCGCUGGCCAGCGGCUGCAGCGCAGCCACACGCCACCCGAUGUCUCCUGGACAUGCGAACACGUUUCGUCCAGCUUGCGUGGAUUUCCUCGUCCUUUACCACUGGCUGUUCGUUUAGACAACAAUUGUGUGACAAUUUCUUUGAUAGUCUUUGAGCUACAUGGCAAACGUUUUGGAGAAGAAUUGGCAGAGACAAGCCUCUGUGACGGCCACAUCUUUGCUUCGGUUUCAUAACGUAUCUGCGUGUGUAGAAGUGCAUCCUCACGCCGUCAUUUCAAACAUGCGUAUCGAUUCGGAAUGCAUAAUUAAACCUUCUUACAUGACCACGCUCGUGCUGCGUGACUCUCCAGGCGUCCAUUCUGGUGGGAAGAGGAGAAUGCCUACCAUAAUCGUCUUUUGGGAUGUAUCACUGGACAAUUUAACGUUAUGGAGAAGGGGCACGGCACCUCCCAGUCACACUCUGCUUUUGGCAGCAGAGAAAUGCAACCAAACAUGAAUGCUGAUGAACUGGCUGGGCAGCCACAGCACAAGGUCAGAGAGUUUGUCCAUGGAUCACGGCCACCAAUCAUGGAGUCUCUCGAGCAACUGAGUGGCAGACCAAAUGGCCAAUCAGCUUUCGGAGAGGAGUCCUCCCUCCCUCUGCUGUGUUUGUCUCUCUGUCUCCCCCGGUCCACCGGGCUGCUCCCUGCCCCUCCCCAGGCAGAGACCACCAUGCUGGGCAGCUCAUAUAUCUUGGGAAGGAGGAGAUAAGGGCUCAUCCUGGAUGUCCUCUGAGCCCCCGUGCUCUCGGCUCAACACUCAGGACUUCCGCUCCCGUGCUCAUGAAAGAACGAGGGAUGAUGGCGAACGACAGAAGAGGAGAGAUGGAUCAAGGGAGAGGAUACAGGCGGAACAAGAGAAGAGCAGAGGUGUUCAGCUGCACUCAUCCUCCUCACUGCAACCUCUCCAAACCUCGAACACACAGGAGAAGGGCGAGAGAGGAAGAGAGAGAGAGAGAAGGAGAGCGAGCGAGUGAGAGACUGAGAGAGAGGAAGAAAGAAAGUGAGAGAGGGAGAGCUGGUAAGAAAUGGAGGGAUAAGAGGUAGAUGAUGAGUGAUAGAGGGAAAGCAGGUGGAUGACAGGAGGCUUUGAUUGGUUCACUACAUGAAAGAGAGAGUGUGUGCCGCCUGACAGCACAGGCCGAUAGGAGAGAGUGGAGAUGAGUGCAACUUAAAACACACUAGUCAGAUCCACACACUCCCCCUCUCUCUCUCUC
Clupea harengus (Atlantic herring) is the source of this 1933-nucleotide long non-coding RNA. NCBI's taxonomy places the organism in Eukaryota, Metazoa, Chordata, Actinopteri, Clupeiformes, Clupeidae. The record is from Ensembl.